This 2626-nucleotide long non-coding RNA is filed under the name Sus scrofa (pig). Its description in RNAcentral is "lncRNA (ENSSSCG00060017928.1)". Lineage: Eukaryota; Metazoa; Chordata; Mammalia; Artiodactyla; Suidae. The record is from RNAcentral.
GGCAUAUGAAGUUCCCAGGCUAGGGGCGUCGAAUCAGAGUUACGGCCGCUGGCCUACAGGACAGUCAGCAACAAUGCAGGAUCCAAACUGAGUGUGCGACCUACACCACAGCUCAUGGCAAUGCCGGAUCCCUAACCCACUGAGCAAGGCCAGGGAUCGAACCCGCAUCCCUAUGGAUCCUAGUCAGGUUCGUUAACCACUGAGCCAUGAAGGGAACUCCCUGGUAUCUCCUCUUUAGCAAAUACUUCCAUCAUGAUUUUUGUUGCUUCUAGUUUUAUUCAUCCUUCAAGAUCCAGCUUAAACGGCACCUCCUUCCAGAAGCUUCCUAUAUCCUAUAAAUUUCUCUAGACUCUCAGAGCACUUUAUUCACAUAUGACCUACAGCUCUGAUCACAUUCUGCUUUGAAUGGAAGCUAAUUAUGCAAAAAUCAAUCUCUACCAGUAGACUGGAAGCCGCGGACCACCACCCGUGACGUCGCUGAAGCAGUUUGCAGCAUUUAUUUGCUCAUCUGUCUUUUCUAGUCAUUAAACCAUCAAUUUCUUGAGGUCAUGAUCCAUGCUUACCUUUGAAAAUACUUUAACUACAAGUUAAAGGCAUAUUUAAACUAUAAAUAUAGUCUUACUAUAAAUGGUUCCACUGUCCCACCACGCGCUGGUCAGAACUACCCGGACCUUCCAGUAGUGGCAGAACAGCGCAGCAUCCUCGGGCUCCUUCCCCUCUCACUCCCUCUCCAUCGUGCAGAGAUAGUCGCUCUCUUCGUUUUGUGUGUCUUAGCGCCUUGUUUUUAUGAUAGUCUUAUUCCAUGGGCAUGUAUCCAUAAACAACCUAUUGUUUCUUUUUGUAUGGUUUUGGUGUCUUAUAAAUGGAACCAUACUGCAUUUACUGUGCUGCAACUCGUAUGUGUUUGUUUUGGGUUUGGGGCUCAACAGUAUGUGCCUAAGAUUCACAUACACUGAUGCGUGUAGCUAUAGCACACUCAUGUUCACUAAGAGAACCUCCUGCAGAGGAGCUUUGGGCGGCACAAAUGAAAAGAAUGUCCAUAGUAACAUCGUUUGUAAAUGCAAGAACUGUAAAUGACCAAACGUUCAUGCUCAAGAGGAGACAUAAAUAAACUAUGAUAUUUCCUACACUUUCACUUCCUAACAUGUCGGGCAUACAGUAAAGCAUCCAUAAGUAUUUAUCGAGUGGAUAAUGGGCUUAAGGAAAAGAAAAAAAACUGAUGCAUCACGGCCUCUGAGCUCAGCCCAUGCUCAGAUGCUCAGGAAACAACGGAGACAUUCACCCACAAAACCAUGUUAUUAGCCCCCAAGGCUGGCACUGGACAGAUACUCAGGCAAACUGACAAUUCAGAGGACCUGCACUGAGUGACUGAGAAAACAAAAUGGGAAUCUUGAUGUGGGAAUGCCUAGCAUAAGCUAGGCAGACAGCGUGUUAUCUUGGAUGCUGUUAUUUCGACCUGCUUACUUUCAAGUCCCAACGAACCAUUGUGGUUCACAAGUAUCCCUGUCUCUCCCUAUAGGCCCACCCGCACCAUCUCCUCGGCUGCUCCCUACUGGCUGUGUCUGCUCUGAUACACCUGGGAAGGAUUUCACGUCGGGGAUAAGAACUGACAUUCGAAUUUCCCUUCUCUGCCUCCCCAUCUCAAGCUCUGACGUCGUCCAAGGGUAAUUACAUUCUGUUGGGCAGCGAUUGGUCUCGCGCUCUGCCACCCUUUGAGCGCUGCAUACCCAUUUUAAGGCAAUUGAGCCAGCCUACUUAUUGCCUUUUUAAACAUAGUUGAAGUCAGCUCUUCAACAGCACCAACUCCCUAGAAAAAUGAUCACCAUUCCAGCAUGCUAUUCGUCUACUUCUCAUUUUACUGAAAUAGAAACGAAUCCUCAGGAUGACGCUGCCGGUAAAGAUGCAGGGGAAGACAAAUUACAUCAAACCAAAAGCGUGUGUGCUUCUCUGCAGCACGAGUCAAUUACUUUCCAAAGAACCGGUGUAGAAAAUCAUGAGAGGGAACACAAAGGUACAGAAAAGACGGUCAACUCCAACUUUUUCCAGGAAAGGGAGUAUGACUCACAGAAAUUCAUCUUACUUUGAGCUGAUUUCACCAUGGUCAUAACUUCCACCUGACUAUUCAGUCAAAAGAACGGGGGAUGGGGGUUGGAGAGGAAGGAAGAGAAAAAGCUAUGAUUCUGACAGGAGACAUACAGCAUCUUUCCUUCGCGGCCGUUUCAUCGUUAAAUCUUUCUCUGUUCCCUUUCCUAUUCCCCCGCUAGACUCACUUCCUCUCUCACAUUUCUCUCGCCCGCUCGCCUCUCUUGAUAAAGAUCCUUGAAUGGGAUUAAAGAGCACAGUCCUUACUUUUAAAGUUCAACUUUUCUCCAGGCAAACUUUUUUCUCGGCGGGGGGGCCGGGGUGUGUGUGUGUGUGUGUGUGUGUGUGUGUGUGCGGCAUCUGGAAGUUCCCAGGCUAGGGGAUGAAUGUGAACUGUAGCUGCCGGUCUACACCAAUAGCCACAGCAACUCAGGAUCCGAGCUGUGUCUGUGGGCUAUACCACAGCUCAUGGCAAUCCUUAACCCACAGAGCAAGGCCAGGGAUGGAACCCACAUCCUCAUGGAUGCUAGUCGGGUUCAUUACC